AAGAGCUUUAAUAGCGCCUAUUUAAUAGCGCUUAUUUAAAAAGCGCUAUUAAAACAUAGAAACGGAGCCUUAUAAUAGCGGUUUUAAGAUGAGCGCUAUUAAAUAUUUGAAUCUAGGUAUGCUACAAUAGCGCUUUUGAGAAAAGCGUUAUUAAAGCCGUCAGCAAGGAACUCUAUAAUAGCACUUUUUAAAAGCGCUAUUAAUUCGGAUAUCCUAUAAUAGCGUGUUUUUGCAUAAGCGCUAUAGUAAAGCAAAUUAAUAAAUUAAAAAACUGUUAUGGCUGGGUGUCGAACCUUUGACCCCUUGGUUGAUGAAUAAUAAAAAAAAAAACAGAUCAAUUUUUUUUAAGAAAAAACUUAUCUCCUACUCACACAACUGCAUCGUUCCUACUCACAGUUCCUUGGUUCCAACUUCCAACUCUCCUCUUUCUCUACUCUAAUUCCUGAUCAACGCCAUCUUGUCAAUCCUCCAUCUCCACCUUGCCGUCGAACCCUAAUUCCUUAUACCCUCGUUCAACCUCAAUCUUCGUCGAACCUUAUGUCCUUCGUUUCGGCCCAAAACACCUCCAUCGAACCCUAAAUUUCGCGAUUCUCAGUAUACCCAGAACGACAAUUCUCUGUGUAACAACCUUAUAUAGUUAUAUCUCAACAUUUUCAUUGAUUGGGUAACGACAAUUCUAUGUGUAACCCACUGUUUUGAUUGGGUUUAUCUUUUAUUUUAAUUUUAAUUUCAUUGAUUCAUAUUAUAUGGGAUUGUUAAUUGUUGAUUUGAUUGAUGAUGAUUGUUAAUAUUAACCAGUAUUACUAGUAUUUUUUAAUUUCAAGUUGUGUUUGUUUUCUUGCCAUUUGAAUUGUGUCUGCUGCAUGUUUAUAUUGUGAUUUUGCUGUUGUUUCAGUGGUGUCAGAGGAGGUGUCUGCUGUUUGAGGAUAUUGUUGGUUUGUGCUUUAAUUGGUUUGGUAUGGCUGUGUGUUUUUGUUGGGUUUGGCCGAGGGAUUGUGUCUUUUCUUCGUGUUUCCUUUAAAUUGUUACGCCUCGGUUUGGUUUGAUGUAUUGUGCUUCUUGAUAAUGGUUGAAAUAGUCAUCAAGCUAAUGUUAAUGUGGCAGCCCUCUUUGAGCUUGAUUCAUUCCCCAAUUGUUACUCUUUUGAAUUUCAUCUUUGAUUUUAUGUUACUAGUGUUGUGUGAUCAAAUUUUUUGAUUACUGUAGACUGGUGAUUUUAUUUCAUUCUGUGUGGUAGUAGUUGGAAGCUUAUCCACUGAUCUUUAAAAGCUAGCUGGCUAAAUAUACAUUUGAUAGCUUCAUAUACCACCGACAUGAUCAUGUUACUAUGAACUUUGCCAGAAGUGGAGGACAUGGGAUGUUAACAAAUGGACGGACACAUGUAGGGGCUGAGUGUGACUUUAGCCACACCAGAUGUUUCCAAAAAAAAUUUAUAUACUGAAAAGAAAGAAAAAAGUACAGAAUUGUUAACCUCAAACAAUCACAUAUUCUUUCUCUCUUCCUCUUCAAAUUCUCAAUAAGCAAGAUCAGAAGUGUCUACCUCAAAUCCUCAAUCUUUCAAUUUUCUACCAAUUGUAAGCUUAUAGGUGUGUUUGAAAAUCUAAGGUAAAGUGAGUAUUCCAAUUUUCUCCUAUUCUUUUCUCCUUUUUCAGCUGAAUCCUAAAACCUCAAUUUGUUAAAAUUUCAAUUUUCCCAAUUUCUCAUAAAUGGGUACCUUUAUAAUCAAUUGGUGUGAAGAACAAUAGUUAUUUAGUUGUGAUUUUGAUCUGUUAUGUUCAGUAGGUUAUUGUAUGAUUGCAUUACUUUGUAUUGUUAAUAUACCUUGAAUUUGUUCCUCUAGCUUUGAUAGUCUGCUUUGGUGUUUGAUGAUAUGGUUAUUUGUUUGGAUAGUGUCCUGCUAUAUUAUGCAAGUGUUGUAAUGUUUCCUUACCAUGAGUUCAACAAUAAAAGAACAUAGGCAUCACGGGAAAAUAA
This is a long non-coding RNA of Trifolium pratense (red clover), 1974 nucleotides long. RefSeq lists it as uncharacterized. The record is from RefSeq and is a predicted model, not a curated record. Lineage: Eukaryota; Viridiplantae; Streptophyta; Magnoliopsida; Fabales; Fabaceae. The transcript is spliced from 3 exons.